UAGCCCAUGGAAACAUGGGGUAAUACCGCAUACGACCGAUCUGCUGUGGCGGGUUGGGGAAAGUGCGCUUAGGCGUCACCGAGCGAUGAGCCUGCGGCUGAUUAGCUAGUUGGUAGGGUAACGGCCUACCAAGGCAACGAUCAGUAGCCGGCCUGAGAGGGUGAUCGGCCACACUGGGACUGAGAUACGGCCCAGACAACUACGGUUGGCAGCAGCUAAGAAUCUUCCGCAAUGGACGAAAGUCUGACGGAGCGACGCCGCGUGGGCGAUGAAGGCCGUGAGGUUGUAAAGCCCUUUUCUAUCGGAGGAAUAAGCCUGGGAGGGAAUGCCCGGGUGAUGACGGUACGGUAGGAAUAAGCCCCGGCCAAUUACGUGCCAGCAGCCGCGGUAACACGUAAGGGGCGAGCGUUGUUCGGAAUUAUUGGGCGUAAAGGGCACGUAGGCGGCACGGUAAGCCUGGUGUGAAAGACCGCAGCUUAACUGCGGAGACGCGCUGGGAACUGCCGAGCUUGAGUGCUGGAGGGGGAGCUGGAAUUCCAGGUGUAGGGGUGAAAUCUGUAGAUAUCUGGAAGAACACCGGUGGUGAAGACGAGCUCCUGGCCAGAUACUGACGCUGAGGUGCGAAAGCGUGGGGAGCGAACAGGAUUAGAUACCCUGGUAGUCCACGCCGUAAACGAUGUGCACUAGGUGUUGGGUUCAUUAGCGACUCAGUGCCGUAGCUAACGCGUUAAGUGCACCGNCUGGGGAGUAUGCU
RNAcentral lists this ribosomal RNA (754 nucleotides) under uncultured organism. RNAcentral describes it as "bacterial SSU rRNA". It matches the Rfam family "Bacterial small subunit ribosomal RNA", at positions 144 to 886 of the family's 1533-position model. The record is from RNAcentral.